GUGCGCUGUUCACUGUUGGAUUCGUGAAGGCGCGGUCGUCAAGAGCAUACAGCAUUUACUGGUCCUGCACUUUCAUUUAAUUUUUUUUUUUACACCUAGACUUCCUACCCUGUAAUACUUUCCUUCCCUUACCUUCUUCUUCUUCAACAACUUCAGAUUUCGUCAUCGGCCGUUUUGCCAAGUGGAAAUUAUCCUCAGCCUCCAUCUUCACCUACAGGAAGGACUUUUGGGUUCGUCUCCUAGAUGCAAAAACGACAGGAAGGGGAUGGAGGUGGUGGUGGUCGUCAAAUACUCAUCUUGUCUCUGCUAUUGGUGCUGCUGUCUGCCCAACCCACUAACAUGCAGACAGACAACAUGGAGGACACUGUCGUAAGCAACACAGAAGCCGAGAAGAAUACCAACCUUUAUGGCAGUGACACGCCCUUCAGUGACACGCCCUUCAGUGACACGCCCUCCAGUAACAUGCUCUCCAGUGACACGCCCUCCAGUGACAAACUCUCCAGUGAUGAUGCACUCCAGUGACACGCCCUUCAGUGACACGCCCUCCAGUAACAUGCUCUCCAGUGACAAACUCUCCAGUGACAUGCUCUCCAGUGACACGCCCUUCAGUGACAUGCUCUCCAGUGACACGCCCUUCAGUGACAAACUCUCCAGUGACAUGCUCUCCAGUGACACGCCCUUCAGUGACAUGCUCUCCAGUGACACGCCCUCCAGUGACAUGCUCUCCAGUGACACGCCCUUCAGUGACAUGCCCUCCAGCGACAUGCCCUUCGGUACUACUACUGAAGUCAUCAAUUCCCUGGCUACGAUAGAGUUACGACUGAGAGAAGAUGACAACUGGCUGAGCGUAACAUGGGAUCCGACAGACCUGUCAGGAGAAGGGUAUAAAGUAUGUGUCCUAUGCCAGAGAGACGAUGACCCUUGUAACUGCGGAAAUUGCAUGAAUCCCCCAGAGAAAAUCACCAACGAAACCACCAUCAAGUUUCAGACCGAACCUAGCACCAAUUAUAGUGUGUGGCUCACUCCUCCUGACGCUCUGUGUAAUGGUAAUGGAAGUGAUGUCUACUCUCUGACGACGAACCAUAGCAAUCCAAGAGAGCCAAAUGUCACGUACAAUCGUGAAACUAGCCCGGUGCUAAGCUGGGAGACUGGCUGCCCUUAUAUUGGUCCUGUCAAAUACACAUUACUCAUAGAUGGCGUCGAGUUUAAAAUACACACCAACAACUCCUGUAACUACGAAGCGAAAAUCAUGGAAAAGUUGUCACCUGCCACCCGGUAUAACUACACCCUUAACACACAGAUACCCGACUGUGUUGAAGAGAUUAACAGGAAGUCAGUAGAAGGGUCAGGGUCAAGCAGCACUCCUUCCAUGUCAGAUGAAAAUGAGUCGUACAAUGGGACAGAGACGCCCGGAGUUGGAGACAAUCCUGCCAGUAUCUGUUAUGACAAGUGUGGCGUAUGCGGCCAGGGGACACCGAUCAUCACUCCUCCUAACAACGAGUCCAUACCUCAGAAUUUAAUGAAAGAGGGGCCAACCUUAGCCGAUGCAGACCCCAGUUCUCGCAUGGUGAAACUGACCUGGAAUGACCCUGUGCAUGCCGGGGUAAUGGACGAGUUUGUCUUGAAACUAAUCCACAAAGAAAAUGUUACGAAGGAAUGCUAUAUUAGUAAUAAUGGCACGAACGAUUGUGGCUGUCAACGGCACUCCUGUAGUCUUCCGGUGAGAGCCAGGACAACAUACACAAUAAAUGUCGAAGCCUUGAAUAAGGAUUUAAGAUUGAGAAGCAAGCCAGCAAUAGAUAUUCUGCAUGUGCAAAUUGGAACGCCUUUCUUCACGGGCCCACCAAUGUUUGAGUUUAAGAAUGGCGACGAGUUUGAUCUCCACAAAGAAUAUCCCAUCUUGAUAGACAGUAAUACCUUCAGCAAUGACAACGGCGAAGUUGCUGGAUACAAGAUAUUUGUGGAGAAAGGACAUGGUCAAAGGAAUACCUACAGGUGGAUGGUUUGCCACAAUCUCAUCAAGGAUUUUAAAAAGUUGCUUAUCAUCGGUGUUGGCUCACCACAGGACACUUGCUCAAAAGACAAGAUCUGCAACCCACCACUCACCCCUUCUAUCAACUACACUGUAACCUUGAGCAUUUACACCAACAAGGCUUCCCAAAACUUCAGCCUGUUUUUCACCACCGCUGCUCAACCAGUGAAUUGGCUGACAGUCGUGUUCUCAUUGAUUCUGGCUGUAUUGCUAGUGGUAGUGUUGUCAGCUGUGUCCUACUACUGGCAGCGGUUUCUUCCCAUGAAGCGUAGUGAAUCCCUGGAUAUUCCAAUGGUGGAGUCCCUGCCUCCAGACGUCAGCAUGGAGCAUAGGAUAACUCUCUCACAGCUAGCCAACACCGUCCACAAGCUCCUAUCCAACUGUCAGAUGGAACUCAAGAGGGAGUAUGCCUUACUCAAGUCAGUUUCGCCAUCAAAGCCUUGUGAGUAUGCCAAUCUGCCCUCAAACAAAGUCAAGAACCGCUACAUCAACAUUCUACCAUUUGACGAAUCGAGAGUAGCCUUGAAGGAGUACCGUUCCAUCCCCUGUAGCGACUACAUCAAUGCUUCAUAUAUACAUGGUUACAACAAGUCCAGGGAGUUCAUCGCUUGCCAAGGUCCUACAGAUGAUACAAUUGAGGACUUCUGGAGGAUGGUGUGGGAGAAGAACGUUCACAUCAUUGUCAUGGUCACACAGUGCGUGGAGAAGAACACGAGGAAAUGUGCUAAAUACUGGCCAGACAAGGAGGAGGAGAAGGGGCUGGUACUGAGGCAAGCCAUGCUGAGAGUGACGAUGCUCCACCAGGCCUCAAACCAGGGGGAAGGUUACAUCAUUCGUAAAUUCAAACUCUCCAGGAUACCGAAUUAUAGUUCGAGGAUUGUCCAGCACUUCCACUUCGUGUCGUGGCCAGACAUGGGCUGCCCGGAUACCCCCAACCACUUGAUCAACCUGGUGGAGGCAGUGAGGAAAGCUGUCCCUUCCUCCAGUUCCCAUGUACUUGUCCACUGCAGCGCUGGUGUGGGUCGAACUGGAACUUUCAUUGGCCUGAACAACAUGAUAGACGAGAUAGCUGAAGAAGAUAGUGUAGACGUCUUCCACACUGUGUACAAGAUGCGCAUGCACCGUACAAACAUGGUCCAGACUGAGGCUCAGUAUGCUUUCCUCUACAAAUGUGUCCUCAAGUACUACAACAACAAAAUAGGAGAAACUGAAACUGAAAUAUUUGAAAGGAACAGGAAUCAACCAAGGGAUAUCCCAGACGUGAUUACCAAUACCCCAGAAGCCAGAAAUUCUUCCCCAGAGACCGAGAGUGACGACACUAGUAGUAAGACCUCGACACAUGACAGCGCUGGUGUAAUAGGCAUAAUACCCCUUUAUUCUCAACUUAGUGAGACGGAAUACAUUGAGGACAAGGAUCUAGAGCCACAUUCAGAUCUAGACGACGAAGAAGACAAACAACUGAUUAAAGAGAGCCCUGAACCUGAAGACAAAUCCAGUGAGCACUGACACCAAUAACAUGAAACUCAGUGGAAAGGUAACAUCACAGGGAGCCAUUUUUGAUCCUAUUACCUUUGUUGAUAAAACAAAACAAGGGGGGGUGAGCUUAAUACUGAGAAGGAUUCACAGUAACUUUUACUUUUAUCCUCUUCGCCACUGACAGGCCUGUUAGCCACUUGGGCAGUCGGUCACAUCACUCUUACACACUGUUGGCAGAUACUGGGCAUGAACUGGCUCCUGAAUCUAUCGGAACCUGCUCCAGUGUUGGUCAAGUUUGGCCUUGUUUGGGCUCACACUCGGUGCGGCCACAACACUCUGGCAGAUUGUUCCAAGAGUUCACAAUUCUCACUCCGAAAAAGACACAAGACACAAAGUAUCUUUUGUUAUGGCCAUUGUUUACUCUUCCAAACCUUGAAUGUCUCUACAGUGUACAGAAAUUUGUCAGCGGGGGUCAUAAAACAUAAAAUAAAAAAUGUCUGGCCUUAGUUAAAACCUUGAUUAGUUAUAACACCCAAUUUAUAUGCAGAUUACAUAAAGAUACAACUUUUAUAUGUGGUGAUAAUAUACAUGUUGACAAGUACAGUACGUAACUGGAAAUAACUUACCAGACAGUGAGGAAAAUCACCAAGGUUUGAUGAUGUUCCUUCUUCAGACAACCUUACAAAGUGAUGUUUUACCUGACAGGUGGAAGGACUGCAUUGUACAAUUAAAGGAUCAACUUCUUGAAUACUAUUGGAUUAGUCACCUGUAUUGUGUAAGUGUAUCAGCUAAUUGAAUAAGUUGAUAAAUUAUUGUAUGUUUUUGCUAUGAAGAUGAUUUUUUAUUUUUUUGUAAUCAUGUGUAAGUAAUGAGUUCCACAAUGUUCUGUAAAUACAUCGGUAAUAUUAUAUAAAUGCUUCUAUAUGUGUAUCAUGUUACAGGAUCACUGAGUGCUACACACAUACAGUAUAUCCCAGCAUUAUGUUCGUCUUGUUUUAUUAUUUCAUUUAUUUAUACUCGUACUUCAAAACCAACCACAUUAGAUGGAUACUAGACAUGCUAUACCAAGUCAACUUGUCUAUGGCCAGCUAAUUCUGGUGUCCCUGGGAUAUGUGAAUGGAUGAAUUCCUUGUAUAAUGUGGAUAAAAUAAUUCCAUACAUGUGAAUGAAUGUAUCAAAGAGAAAUAAUGUAUAUAUCCUUGCAUUUAGCAGGCUGACUAGUUAUUGUGUCAUAUACCUUGAGAUAAUCAACCUUAGUGUUCAUGUAAGGGUGACUGAUCAAAUGACCUGUUCCAAUAGGUUCCAAUCUCACCAAUGGGACUGAGGGUCUACGGCUAAUGAUAAAAUUUACCUGUUAUAUAUAUUAAAAGUUGAUACAUCACUUAUAAAAUGAUAAUGUAUAACUCUAGAACAGUGGGUCUAUUUAUCCAUUACCCUUACUUCUUUUCCACUUGCAUAAGUUGAGUCCGUUAUAACACAAUCCUUGAGAAAAAAAGGGGAAGUGAUAGUAGUAACUGUCUUCCAUUUAACCCCUUCACUAAUAGCAGAUGAUUUUAUUCAGCUCAGAGAUGACCUCAGACACAAGGGGUAAGGGUGAAACAGUUUUCUGCAAUCAGUGUUCUCACUCAUUUUAUGCAAAUAGACAAGUUAAAGGUUUCUUGAAGGGGGAUCAGUUGCUCCUAUAUAGGGCAUCAUUUCUUUAUACCGUGUAAAACAAUAUUAAUAGUAAUGAUAUUACUGCUGGUGCAAGAACCACAAACAGCCUAAGAGCUGACGCUUAACUGUGAGGGGCUGUGUUCAUAAUUAUUUGCCAGCAGGUUGGCUAUGAUUCUAGCAACAGUGGCCGAAAGUACAGUACAUUACAUGUGGGUAGAUCUAUUACACUGUGCAUAAAGUGUGCUGUCAACAAUCAUUUGUUCUGAGUUAAUAACAAAAUAAAGGAUACUGGCAAAGGGUGGCCAGCAUCCAGAACAACUCUCUCCUUUAAGCAUUUACUCAAGGUAUUGUAAACUUGUAACACAUGUUCUCAUAUUGUGUUCUUUCCCAUAACUGCAUCAAACAGAAUAUGUCGAGAAACUGUGUUCUCUUUCUAAUGAAAUAAAUCAUAGGUUGGUAGUACUAUCCACAAA
Molecule: unclassified non-coding RNA, 5637 nt
Filed under: Homarus americanus (American lobster)
Lineage: Eukaryota; Metazoa; Arthropoda; Malacostraca; Decapoda; Nephropidae
Description: uncharacterized LOC121879407, transcript variant X5
Source: RNAcentral